ACAUCAGGAGAGCCUGAGAAUAAAAUUCACUGAAGGUGGCAGAACAGAAAGACAGAAGAAAUCUGGGCCCAUGCCGAUGUCAUUAAACUGCUUAAUUAACCAGCCCUGGAACUGCCCCACUUCUGGACUUAUUAUUUUUAAGGACAGGAUCCCGGUCCAGUCUCCUGACUGCGUAGAGAUCCCUCUUCUUCCCGAAAGGCAGUGGAUGUACUUGAAAGGAGACUUCACGGACAUUCCCAAGGAGACCUGCAUUUUAAGCCCAGCUCUGUCUGCACUUGCUGUGUAUUGGACUAGUCAAGUCACCCACUUCAUCACGGUGAGCCAGUAUAUGGUAUUUCUCGGUGGAUGUUCCAUGUGUACUUGAAAAGAAUGUGUUUCCUCCUGUUGUUGGGUGAAGUACUCUAUAACUCUAUAAAUGUCAUUUAGCUCCA
Long non-coding RNA from Homo sapiens (human), 431 nucleotides. Ensembl annotates it as long intergenic non-protein coding RNA 1804. NCBI's taxonomy places the organism in Eukaryota, Metazoa, Chordata, Mammalia, Primates, Hominidae. The record is from Ensembl.